Molecule: transfer RNA, 68 nt
Filed under: Chelonus formosanus
Lineage: Eukaryota; Metazoa; Arthropoda; Insecta; Hymenoptera; Braconidae
Description: tRNA-Lys
Source: RNAcentral
UAUUAGUUAUCUUAAAUAAAAGAUUUAAUUUUUUAAGUUAAAGAUAAUAUUUUAUAUAUUACUAAUAA